CUAAUACUUCCUCCGUUCUAAAAUUGUUAUUUUAAUUUUUUUCUAAAUAUAAAUAUAUCUAGUCAUGUUUUAAUAUUUAGGUACAUUCAUUUUCAGACAAACCCAAGACAAAAAUUUUUGGAACGGAGGGAGUAUAAG
Molecule: microRNA precursor, 138 nt
Filed under: Hordeum vulgare
Lineage: Eukaryota; Viridiplantae; Streptophyta; Magnoliopsida; Poales; Poaceae
Description: microRNA MIR1122
Rfam family: MIR1120/MIR1122 microRNA precursor family
Source: RNAcentral